Molecule: non-coding RNA, 74 nt
Organism: Ixodes scapularis (black-legged tick)
Lineage: Eukaryota; Metazoa; Arthropoda; Arachnida; Ixodida; Ixodidae
Source: Rfam
GGCGCCGUGGCUUAGUUGGUUAAAGCGCCUGUCUAGUAAACAGGAGAUCGUGGGUUCGAAUCCCACCGGUGCCU